CGCGGCCGCAGAGUUUGAUCAUGGCUCAGGACGAACGCUAGCGGCGCGCUUAAUACAUGCAAGUCGAGCGAGAACCUGGGCUUCGGCCCAGGGGACAGCGGCGAACGGGUGAGUAACACGUGGGUAAUCAACCCCCGACACCGGGAUAGCCCAGGGAAACUUGGAUUAAUACCGGAUGCCCCAUCUGGCUCUCGAGCCGGCUGGAAAAGGGUAGCUUCGGCCUCCGGUCGGGGACGAGCCCGCGGCGGAUUAGCUUGUUGGUGAGGUAAAGGCUCACCAAGGCGACGAUCAGUAGCUGGUCUGAGAGGACGAUCAGCCACACUGGGACUGAGACACGGCCCAGACUCCUACGGGAGGCAGCAGUAGGGAAUCUUGCGCAAUGGGCGAAAGCCUGACGCAGCGACGCCGCGUGAGGGAAGAAGGCCUUCGGGUUGUAAACCUCUUUCAGGAGGGACGAAGCCACUCGGGUUAAUAGCCCAGAGGGUGACGGUACCUCCAGAAGAAGCCCCGGCUAACUACGUGCCAGCAGCCGCGGUAAUACGUAGGGGGCAAGCGUUGUCCGGAUUUAUUGGGCGUAAAGAGCGUGUAGGCGGCCAAGCAGGUCCGCUGUGAAAACUCGAGGCUCAACCUCGAGAGGUCGGUGGAAACCGUUUGGCUAGAGUCCGGAAGAGGAGAGUGGAAU
Molecule: ribosomal RNA, 682 nt
Filed under: uncultured Hydrogenedentota bacterium
Lineage: Bacteria; Pseudomonadati; Candidatus Hydrogenedentota
Description: bacterial SSU rRNA
Rfam family: Bacterial small subunit ribosomal RNA
Source: RNAcentral